AGGCGCGUAGCUCAGCCCGGAAGAGCAGCGGUCUCCAAAACCGCCGGUCGGGGGUUCGAAUCCCUCCGCGCCUGCCA
Molecule: transfer RNA, 77 nt
Filed under: Dehalococcoidia bacterium
Lineage: Bacteria; Bacillati; Chloroflexota; Dehalococcoidia
Description: tRNA-Trp
Rfam family: tRNA
About the family: Transfer RNA (tRNA) molecules are approximately 80 nucleotides in length.
Source: RNAcentral